UUGAUUCAUUUUGAAUUUUUGCUCAGAGCUGUAAGAAAUAACGUCCGCGAGGGGACUACAGAAAGAGUUUGGUUGGUUCCUCCGGCGGGCGCCUGGUUCCGGGGCUGCGACGCACCCGGGGCGUGACCCCGCCGAGGCAACAGUUUGGUAACGUUCACAUUGGGUUUGGGAGUUGUAAACUCGGUAAUGAUCCCUCCGCUGGUUCACCAACGGAGA
This 216-nucleotide unclassified non-coding RNA is filed under the name uncultured fungus. RNAcentral describes it as "sequence contains ITS1". The record is from RNAcentral. Lineage: Eukaryota; Fungi.